Molecule: ribosomal RNA, 497 nt
Filed under: uncultured bacterium
Lineage: Bacteria
Description: partial 16S ribosomal RNA
Rfam family: Bacterial small subunit ribosomal RNA
Source: RNAcentral
GAUGAACGCUGGCGGCGUGCCUAACACAUGCAAGUCGAGCGAAAGCACGAGAAGCUUUCGCCCCUGAGGGUAGCGGGGGACGGGUGAGUAACACGUGGAUAACAUACCUCUAAGACUGGGAUAAUAACGGGGAACAGGAGCUAAUACCGGAUGAUAUGUUGAACCGGAUGGUUCAAAAGUGAAAGACGGUCUUGGUGUCAGUAAUAGACGAAGCCGGGCUGCAUUAGCUAGUUGGUAAGGUAACGGCUUAGCAAGGCGACGAUGCAUAGCCGACCUGAGAGGGUGAUCGGCCAUACUGGAACUGAGACACGGUCCAGACUCCUACGGGAGGCAGCAGUAGGGAAUCUUCCGCAAUGGGCGAAAGCCUGAUGGAGCAACACCGCGUGAGUGAUGAAGGUCUUCGGAUCGUAAAGCUCUGUUGUUAGGGAAGAAGAUAUGUGUAUGUAACUGUGAACAUCUUGACGGUACCUAAAGAGUAAGCCCCGGCUAACUACGUG